Long non-coding RNA from Atta colombica, 469 nucleotides. RefSeq lists it as uncharacterized. Lineage: Eukaryota; Metazoa; Arthropoda; Insecta; Hymenoptera; Formicidae. The record is from RefSeq and is a predicted model, not a curated record. The transcript has 3 exons.
UUCAUAUCGAAUAGUGAUCUAGUUUUAUAAACAGAAAGUACGAAAGGAAUUAUAGUGUUACGAGAGGCGAAACGGCAAAACGAUCAACUAUUUGCGCUCUUUCGAAAUGUGUUUGCUCUCGAUGGUGAUGAUUAUUUGUCUAUGCUAACAUGACAAUGAAACGCUAAAGAACUUUCCUUUCGUAAAAAUGGAUGAAGAAGGCCAUAUCCGUCGAUGAAUGUUAGUAAAAGUUGAAGGGAUAUACCUAUACAACGAAUAGCAAAAGCCUGCCUCGUCCAUUGCGAUCAGCUACAUAUCUCACAUUAAGAUGACAUAGAAUGGGUUGGGUGGCGCUAGGGCGGUGUGCGAGUGGCGGCCGCCUCUCAUCUAUCCUCUCGCUAUCUCUCACUUCCUUUGUGAGUUCCUUAAUCUUCACAUCCCUUUGUAUCCUUACACUUGCCCUUACACUCGUCUCUCUCGUUCGUGCCGA